RNAcentral lists this ribosomal RNA (271 nucleotides) under uncultured prokaryote. RNAcentral's name for it is "partial 16S ribosomal RNA". It matches the Rfam family "Bacterial small subunit ribosomal RNA", at positions 524 to 794 of the family's 1533-position model. The record is from RNAcentral.
UACGGAGGAUCCGAGCGUUAUCCGGAUUUAUUGGGUUUAAAGGGUGCGCAGGCGGGAGAUUAAGUCGGCGGUGAAAUUUUGCAGCUCAACUGUAAAAGUGCCUUCGAAACUGGUUUCCUUGAGUGUAGAUGAAGUAGGCGGAAUUUGUGGUGUAGCGGUGAAAUGCUUAGAUAUGACGAGGAACUCCUAUUGCGAAGGCAGCUUGCUGGGUAGUUACUGACGCUGAUGCUCGAAGGUGCGGGGAUCAAACAGGAUUAGAUACCCCGGUAGU